UACGUAGGGUGCGAGCGUUGUCCGGAAUUAUUGGGCGUAAAGGGCUCGUAGGCGGUCUGUCACGUCGAAAGUGAAAACUCAGGGCUUAACCCUGAGCCUGCUUCCGAUACGGGCAGACUAGAGGUAUGCAGGGGAGAAUGGAAUUCCUGGUGUAGCGGUGAAAUGCGCAGAUAUCAGGAGGAACACCGGUGGCGAAGGCGGGUCUCUGGGCCACUACUGACGCUGAGAAGCGAAAGCAUGGGGAGCGAACAGG
This 253-nucleotide ribosomal RNA is filed under the name uncultured bacterium. RNAcentral's name for it is "partial 16S ribosomal RNA". It matches the Rfam family "Bacterial small subunit ribosomal RNA", at positions 524 to 776 of the family's 1533-position model. The record is from RNAcentral.